GGUUACUGCUAUCGGUGUUCGCCUAAGCCAUGCGAGUCAUAUGUUCGUAAGAACAUAGCGUACUGCUCAGUAACACGUGGAUAACCUGCCCUUGGGUCCGGCAUAACCCCGGGAAACUGGGGAUAAUUCCGGAUAACGCACAUAUGCUGGAAUGCUUUAUGCGUAAAAUGGAUUCGUCUGCCCAAGGAUGGGUCUGCGGCCUAUCAGGUAGUAGUGGGUGUAAUGUACCUACUAGCCUACGACGGGUACGGGUUGUGAGAGCAAGAGCCCGGAGAUGGAUUCUGAGACAUGAAUCCAGGCCCUACGGGGCGCAGCAGGCGCGAAAACUUUACAAUGCGGGAAACCGUGAUAAGGGGACACCGAGUGCCAGCAUCCUAUGCUGGCUGUCCGGGUGUGUAAAAUACACCUGUUAGCAGGGGCCGGGCAAGACCGGUGCCAGCCGCCGCGGUAACACCGGCGGCCCGAGUGGUGAUCGUGAUUAUUGGGUCUAAAGGGUCCGUAGCCGGUUUGGUCAGUCCUCCGGGAAAUCUGACAGCUUAACUGUUAGGCUUUCGGAGGAUACUGCCAGACUUGGAACCGGGAGAGGUAAGAGGUACUACAGGGGUAGGAGUGAAAUCUUGUAAUCCCUGUGGGACCACCUGUGGCGAAGGCGUCUUACCAGAACGGGUUCGACGGUGAGGGACGAAAGCUGGGGGCACGAACCGGAUUAGAUACCCGGGUAGUCCCAGCCGUAAACGAUGCUCGCUAGGUGUCAGGCAUGGCGCGACCGUGUCUGGUGCCGCAGGGAAGCCGUGAAGCGAGCCACCUGGGAAGUACGGCCGCAAGGCUGAAACUUAA
Molecule: ribosomal RNA, 837 nt
Filed under: uncultured archaeon
Lineage: Archaea
Description: bacterial SSU rRNA
Rfam family: Archaeal small subunit ribosomal RNA
Source: RNAcentral